UCGAAUUCUUGACUAUUUGUCUUAUUUGAAAAUUUUUAUGAUUAAUAUUUUUAUUGUUACUACGUGAUAAAACAUAAAUAGUACUUUACGUAUGACUAAUUUUUUUUAACUUUUUAAUAAAUUUUUCAAAUAAAACAGAUGGUUAAACGCUCAACCUAAAAAAC
Molecule: microRNA precursor, 164 nt
Filed under: Oryza brachyantha (malo sina)
Lineage: Eukaryota; Viridiplantae; Streptophyta; Magnoliopsida; Poales; Poaceae
Description: MIR812 microRNA precursor family
Rfam family: MIR812 microRNA precursor family
Source: Rfam by way of RNAcentral